Molecule: long non-coding RNA, 3505 nt
Organism: Astyanax mexicanus (Mexican tetra)
Lineage: Eukaryota; Metazoa; Chordata; Actinopteri; Characiformes; Acestrorhamphidae
Exons: 3
Source: RefSeq, a predicted model, not a curated record
GGUAAAUGCCAUCAAAUGGUUGCACAGUGCUAAACCUAAGUCUAGUUGGAAGCAGUGAACACUAGUUUAAAGAAAACCAGUGCUAAAGUUGGGUUUAGUUAAAAGGAGUGAAUGCUAGUUUAAAGAAAACCAGUGCUAAAUUUGGGUUUAAUUAGAAGGAGUGAAUGCUAGUUUAAAGAAAACCAGUGCUAAAGUUGGGUUUAGUUAAAAGGAGUAAAUGCUAGUUUAAAGAAAACCAGUGCUAAAAUUGGGUUUAGUUAAAAGGAGUAAAUGCUAAUUUAAAGAAAACCAGUGCUGAGGUUGGGUCUAGUUAGAAGGAGUAAAUGCUAGUUUAAAGAAAAACAGUGUUAAAGUUGGGUUUAGUUAGAAGGAGUAAAUGCUAGUUUAAAGAAAACCCGUUCUAAAGUUGGGUUUAGUUAAAAGGAGUAAAUGUUAGUUUAAGAAACCCAGUGCUGAAGUUGGGUCUAGUUAGAAGGGGUAAAUGCUAGUUUAAAGAAAACCAGUGCUAAAGUUGGAAUAAGUUAAAAGGAGUAAAUGCUAGUUUAAAGAAAACCAGUGCUAAAGUUGGGUUUAGUUAGGAGUAAAUGCUAGUUUAAAGAAAACCAGUGCUAAAGUUGGGUUUAGUUAAAAGGAGUAAAUGCUAGUUUAAAGAAAACCAGUGCUAAAAUUGGGUUUUGUUAAAAGGAGUAAAUGCUAAUUUAAAGAAAACCAGUGCUGAGGUUGGGUUUAGUUAGGAGUAAAUGCUAGUUUAAAGAAAACCAGUGCUAAAGUUGGGUUUAGUUAAAAGGAGUAAAUGCUAGUUUAAAGAAAACCAGUGUUAAAGCUGGGUUUAGUUAGAAGGAGUAAAUGCUAGUUUAAAGAAAACCAGUGCUAAAGUUGGGUUUAGUUAAAAGGAGUAAAUGCUAGUUUAAAGAAAACCAGUGCUAAAGUUGGGUUUAGUUAGGAGUAAAUGCUAGUUUAAAGAAAACCAGUGCUAAAGUUGGGUUUAGUUAGGAGUAAAUGCUAGUUUAAAGAAAACCAGUGCUAAAGUUGGGUUUAGUUAAAAGGAGUAAAUGCUAGUUUAAAGAAAACCAGUGCUAAAGUUGGGUUUAGGUAAAAGGAGUAAAUGCUAGUUUAAAGAAAACCAGUGCUAAAGUUGGGUUUAGUUAAAAGGAGUAAAUGCUAGUUUAAAGAAAACCAGUGCUAAAGUUGGGUUUAGUUAAAAGGAGUGAAUGCUAGUUUAAAGAAAACCAGUUCUAAAUUUGGGUUUAAUUAGAAGGAGUAAAUGCUAGUUUAAAGAAAACCAGUGCUAAAGUUGGGUUUAGUUAAAAGGAGUAAAUGCUAGUUUAAAGAAAACCAGUGCCAAAGUUGGGUUUAGUUAAAAGGAGUAAAUGCUAGUUUAAAGAAAACCAGUGCUAAAGUUGGGUUUAGUUAGAAGGAGUAAAUGCAAGUUUAAAGAAAACCAGUGCUAAAGUUGGGUUUAGUUAGGAGUAAAUGCUAGUUUAAAGAAAACCAGUGCUAAAGUUGGGUUUAGGUAAAAGGAGUAAAUGCUAGUUUAAAGAAAACCAGUGCUAAAGUUGGGUUUAGUUAGAAGGAGUAAAUGCUAGUUUAAAGAAAACCAGUGCUAAAGUUGGAUUAAGUUAAAAGGAGUAAAUGCUAGUUUAAAGAAAACCAUUGCUAAAGUUGAGUUUAGUUAGGAGUAAAUGCUAGUUUAAAGAAAACCAGUGCUAAAGUUGGGUUUAGUUAGAAGGAGUAAAUGCUAGUUUAAAGAAAACCAGUGCUAAAGUUGGGUUUAGUUAAGAGGAGUAAAUGCUAGUUUAAAGAAAACCAGUGCUAAAGUUGGGUUUAGUUAGGAGUAAAUGCUAGUUUAAAGAAAACCAGUGCUAAAGUUGGGUUUAGUUAAAAGGAGUAAAUGCUAGUUUAAAGAAAACCAGUGUUAAAGUUGGGUUUAGUUAGAAGGAGUAAAUGCAAGUUUAAAGAAAACCAGUGCUAAAGUUGGGUUUAGUUAAAAGGAGUAAAUGCUAAUUUAAAGAAAACCAGUGCUGAGGUUGGGUCUAGUUAGAAGGGGUAAAUGCUAGUUUAAAGAAAACCAGUGUUAAAGUUGGGUUUAGUUAGAAGGAGUAAAUGCUAGUUUAAAGAAAACCAGUGCUAAAGUUGGGUUUAGUUAAGAGGAGUAAAUGCUAGUUUAAAGAAAACCAGUGCUAAAGUUGGGUUUAGUUAGGAGUAAAUGCUAGUUUAAAGAAAACCAGUGCUAAAGUUGGGUUUUGUUAGAAGGAGUAAAUGCUAGUUUAAAGAAAACCAGUGCUAAAGUUGGGUUCAGUUAGGAGUAAAUGCUAGUUUAAAGAAAACCAGUGCUAAAGUUGGGUUUAGGUAAAAGGAGUAAAUGCUAGUUUAAAGAAAACCAGUGCUAAAGUUGGAUUAAGUUAAAAGGGGUAAAUGCUAAUUUAAAGAAAACCAGUGCUGAGGUUGGGUCUAGUUAGAAGGAGUAAAUGCUAGUUUAAAGAAAACCAGUGCUAAAGUUGGGUCUAGUUGGAAGCCAUGAACGCUAGUUUAAACAAAGUUUCAAUAGUUGAAAAAAGUAGAUCCUGAAAGUGAAAGUAUAGUAUAAUACAGUAUUAUGUUAAAGCAUAUUUUAUUAAAUGUGUGUUCCAACAUAUUGUGCCUGAUGACUAUUGUUGAGGUAUUAAAGUAAGCAAUGCAUAUCAGCUUACAAAUGUCUUAAGAGCUACACGAACAGAGAUUAUUGUAGCUAAUUAUGUAGUGCAUUGCAAGUGAUACCUGCCUAAUAACAUUCAACCUCACUAAUAAACAACUUUUAAAGCUAAGAGAAUGUACUGUACUCUUUACAGAACUCUUUACUUAAAGACAUUCUCCAUCUCUGUGAAGAUAGAGACACAGCUUCCACAAAACACCAUAGUUAUCAAACUUAUAGAAGUAAGAAUACUGAUCUAGGAUCAGUUAAAUCAUUUUAUUGCAUUCUAUUAGACACCUGAUGAGACAUGAUCUAAGAUCACCACCUUUACUCUGAGAUGCUUGAUAAAUGAGGCUUCAGCUGUUUUGACCCACUUUUAUAUCCACAGUUCAUCAUCAGGUAGACUUUUCUGGUCUGCGUUGUCGCUGGUAAUUUCAGAAAUGCUUUUUUUUGGUUCAAACAAAAAUGGCUAAGUAGUAGUCAUGUUUAGCUAGCCAGCUGGGAUUUAUCACUAAAUCUAAUAAACAAAAUCAUGAAUAAGUGCUGUUUCUUCUACUGCUCCGAGCGAAAGCACCUUUAAACUGUACAGAUAGAUAGUGCUACUCUUAAACAUGGGACAUCUCUCUUUAUUUCCAUAAAUAUACUGUCUAUUAAUUACUUUCUGGCUCCUGCACCAGACAGCUCUAACUAAUCAGAGGAAUCAUGCUCGCAUGGUUUGUUGGGGCUCAUUUUUGGUGCGUUAAGUAAACGAACUCAACAGGUUCAGACCAGAGAAAUGAACUACAGGUGUAAAAAGUGCCCUGAGACGCUUCAUGUCAGUUCUUAGAGAUGUCC